RNAcentral lists this ribosomal RNA (497 nucleotides) under uncultured bacterium. Its description in RNAcentral is "partial 16S ribosomal RNA". It matches the Rfam family "Bacterial small subunit ribosomal RNA", at positions 28 to 507 of the family's 1533-position model. The record is from RNAcentral.
GAUGAACGCUGGCGGCGUGCCUAAUACAUGCAAGUCGAGCGAACGGACGAGAAGCUUGCUUCUCUGAUGUUAGCGGCGGACGGGUGAUUAACACGUGGAUAACCUACCUAUAAGACUGGUAUAACUUCGGGAAACCGGAGCUAAUACCGGAUGAUAUUUUGAACCGCAUGGUUCAAAAUUGAAAUACGGUCUUUCUGUCUCUUAUAGAUGGAUCCGCGCUGCAUUAGCUAGUUGGUAAGGUAACGGCUUACCAAGGCAACGAUGCAUAGCCGACCUGAGAGGGUGAUCGGCCACACUGGAACUGAGACACGGUCCAGACUCCUACGGGAGGCAGCAGUAGGGAAUCUUCCGCAAUGGGCGAAAGCAUGACGGAGCAACGCCGCGUGAGUGAUGAAGGUCUUCGGAUCGUAAAACUCUGUUAUUAGGGAAGAACAUAUGUGUAAGUAACUGUGCACAUCUUGACGGUACCUAAUCAGAAAGCCACGGCUAACCACGUG